RNAcentral lists this ribosomal RNA (253 nucleotides) under uncultured bacterium. Its description in RNAcentral is "partial 16S ribosomal RNA". It matches the Rfam family "Bacterial small subunit ribosomal RNA", at positions 524 to 776 of the family's 1533-position model. The record is from RNAcentral.
UACGCAGGGGGCUAGCGUUGCUCGGAAUCACUGGGCGUAAAGCGCACGUAGGCGGAUCUUUAAGUCAGGGGUGAAAUCCUGGAGCUCAACUCCAGAACUGCCUUUGAUACUGAAGAUCUUGAGUUCGGGAGAGGUGAGUGGAACUGCGAGUGUAGAGGUGAAAUUCGUAGAUAUUCGCAAGAACACCAGUGGCGAAGGCGGCCCACUGGCCCGAUACUGACGCUGAGGCACGAAAGCGUGGGGAGCAAACAGG